UUAACAUCAACCAAAUAAUUCUAGAGAAUAGUGCUUCUCCCCUUACAAGGCUGAUUUGAGUGAAGAUAUUUUCCUCCCCCCAAAAGCUAUUAUGUUUAGCAAAAUGGAAAGGACCCCUGGGCCCGCAGCAGCGGGAAGGCUCGAGGCGCCGCCGGCGAACUCUGGGUCGUUCCGGGGCCCUCAUCUCCUCGCCCGCCCCCAGGAUCCCGCCGAGGCCAGGCCUCCCAACCUCCCACCGAUCCCCGACCAGCGGCCUCUCCGCGACCCCGGCUCACGCCCGCGGCGGCCAGCUUGAGGAUACGGUUGAUGUAGUUCUCCAAAGCGGACGUCAUGCUGUUCGGCCCGGCAGUUCCGGGUAACGCAGCAGUGCGGACAACAAGCAGAACUGAAAGGGCGCGCCAGAACCCGGCAGCGGCUAGCGCCUCUGGCUCGCAGCAAAUAUCGUGAGAGUUGCUGUUCCGCAGCCCUGUGAGUCGUAAUUGGGACGAACUGGCCAACCAAACAGAAGCCGCACAGCGGUGACGAGAGAGUGCGCGUGCGCAGUGUGUUUUCUCUGUAAUUCUGGGCCGUGUUCCGGAAGCCGCGUAAGACAAAAGCGAACGAGAGGCGGAAAAAAGGAAGACGCUUCCUGAAGAUGCUGGACUAGUUUUCAUACUAGAUCCCCUCGUGGCAGCAUUAAGGAACUUCACAUUCUUCUCACACUAUUCAUGGAAAGUUCCUGGAACUCCCACAGCAGCAAGGAAACUUCGCUUGUAGGAGUCCUUAGCACAUCUGUAAAGUUUUAUUGGCCAAAAUGUGAUACAUCUCCAUUUCUGGAUCAAUCACUGUGGUCAAGUGCAAGACGCUCUGCAGGACUCAACCUGGGGAUGAGGUCUGUCCACUCCAUCCAUAUGGUCACUUUAUACUGAGGUUGGGUAAGUACUCCUAAGGAAAUCAGGUUUGUUUUGGUUGGAAAAAAAAAAAAAUGGAAAUGGAUGCUGAGGUAACAGCCAACAAAUAUUUACUAUUUUCUAAGAUGUGUUUGAAACUAAUGCAAAAAAGCUCUGAGAUUAAGAUGUGUAUGUAGCUCAUCAGUUUAGUUGUAUUUCCUAUAUAUAAUAUUUAUGGUACCUAAACUAUUACUAAAAUGUUUAUUAUUUUAUUUAAAAUUUGGUUGAGGUUUUCUAUAUCAUCCUAAACCUAAGUUUGGAAAUAAAGAUUUAAUGCUAUAUGACAGGUACAAUUGCUAUCUUUUAGUGAAAAGUCCUAAAAAUCUUAUGGUUGAGAAUACAAUAUUUACUUUCUGGAAGCUCUGCUCACAAACUUUCUGGACAAAGAGCAUUAUCCACAAUCACUGCUAACUAAAAGGAUAGAGAAACUUUUCUUAGGCUUUCCUCCAGGAUUGUCUGUACUUAAUCAGCUCCCCUAUAUAUUCUCAAAUAGCCUCUGAAAAUAUACCCUUUGUCCCUUUUUCAAUAAAUCCCAUAAUUCUUUAUUUUUUCUUCCUCAUAGUUACUUUCAGACAUUUACGAUGUCUUAAGAGUAUUAUACAAAUUGAAUAGAAUGAAUUGUGCAAAAUAACAAUAUGUUGUAGGUCCAAAAGAACUAUAUCUUUUAUGUCUGAGAAAAAGUUUUAAAAUCAGCACCUACACAGCAAUAAAUGGUUUAAUGAUAGCCUUUUAAGUGCACCAUCAGAGCUCUUUUAUAGAAUUUUGUGAAAGACAUACUAGAUAAUUUCCAUGGAAGUUGGUCUCAUUUAAAUGAUACUAUCCUAAGGAACAUUUCAUAUAAACAACUCAUAUUUUCUUUAAGUUUCUUUUAAAGGUUGAGCUGACAGUCACAUCAGGAUUUGAUAAGUCAGAGCAGUGCUGACAUUAUUACAAGGUAAUACUUUUGCAAUCAUCAGCAACAGGAUAGGACUGCAGAACUGUAACAGACUUUGCAUGAAAAAAUACAAAAUAAUAUCAUGUUUGAGCAGUUGUGAUAAUAAAUGAUGGCAUAUCAGUGUAGAGGUAGUAGUGAAACAAAUGAAUUAUUAAAGAAUAUUAUUUUUAAAUAUAUUAAAGAAUAUAAAGAAUAUAACAUC
Long non-coding RNA from Gorilla gorilla gorilla (western lowland gorilla), 2065 nucleotides. RefSeq lists it as uncharacterized. Lineage: Eukaryota; Metazoa; Chordata; Mammalia; Primates; Hominidae. The transcript is spliced from 3 exons. The record is from RefSeq and is a predicted model, not a curated record.